Arachis ipaensis is the source of this 2448-nucleotide non-coding RNA. The record is from RefSeq and is a predicted model, not a curated record. NCBI's taxonomy places the organism in Eukaryota, Viridiplantae, Streptophyta, Magnoliopsida, Fabales, Fabaceae.
CCCAUUCCCUUGACCAUAAUUCACGCAGUAGCAACGCCUCCCUCUCUCCCUCAUUUUCUUCAUUCGAGCACUCCUCCUCCAUCUUUCUCACACAGACACGCAGGAAGGUAGCAUCCAUGGUGGCUUCGCCGUCGCUCUUCUCCUCCUCCAUCCUUCUCACACAGGAGCAGUGGUCGUUCUUCGCUGGCGCUCUCACUCUCGCUCCCAAUAACACUCGUUGGUCAACCUCUCUCACAACCCCUCUGUCGGUACUCCCUCCGCCGAUGCUCCCUGCACUAGCACUCCUUCCGUGUCCCUCCCUUUGGGCAUCAAUCUUCAACAACUUCAAUCUCUUCCUUCAACUCUCCGAUCACCAUUAUGGAGUGAACAAUGAGCGUUACAUUUCUACCCUUGCAACCAAGGGCAUGGGUCACCUUUUCCGCAAGGGGACUGGUGGAAAAUCAUCUGUUAGGUGAAAAUGUUUAGGUAGCUGGAGGGGAAAACAAUAAAAGGAAGAGAGAUAAAAAAAAGGAGAAAUGCCCUUAAAGUACUAUUUACAAGAGUUUUAAGCUUUCAAGUGAGGUGUUCCUGGGAUGAGCAGAUGUUCAUAUAUUUUAAAUUUUUAGUAUUGUUUGCGUGCAGUGGCAAGUAGUAUGUUUUUCAUGUUUAACUUUUGAAGAAGGACUACACUGUCUACAUAUUGUAUAUAAUCUGUGGCAUUAUGAAUGUUUGGUAGGAUAUGUUGGAAGGUUUGUAAUUUUGAAAUAAAACUCCAUAGUAUGAACUAAAGAAUAUAUUUAAUGUGACCUUGAUAGAGUAAGGAUAUCUUAUGGAGAAAUAAAAUCUUCUAAUUGCUAAAAUUCUUUAGGUUAGAUGAGAUUUUGUGGUUUAACUUCUCUUUUGCUGAUUAUUUUAUACUUUUGGUUAAUGUUUUGGAAAAAUUUGAUGUGAUUCUAAAAUAGUCUUGUUAGAUUAUACAGGUUCUAGGUAGUGAAACUGAUGCUUGAAAACAACUCUGUUAGCAGUGGCAUUAUUGCUAUAGUCUUUGGAGCAACUAGGAGAUGUUCUAUUUUGUUAGUUCUUCCUUAUUCUAGUGUUGUGUUUAGUCUGUAAUUUUUGGAUUUUUGUUUGGUUUGAUGUUUGUUUUUAUACAAAUGGAGAAAAGUUAUUGAGGAUUAUACUGUUAUAAGCGUGAUUAGUUCAGAAACCCGACAUGGCGGUGUAAUGUUUCAUUUCAAUUAAAUAAGCAUGCAUUAAAAAAUGAAGAUAAAGGCUAUGCUCAGAUAUAGCUAUGAUGGCUCCUGAGGAGGUGUUCGAAGGCAAGGGUAAAGGAGUUUGCACCAUAGGCAUAUUGCACCUGUAUUCAAAUUAAUAUAAAGCGCAGGAAGUAUUGACUAAAGCAUUAGAUGAAAUGGUAAUGAAUUUCUCUCUCUCUUUCUCUCUUUCUCUCUCUCUCUCUCUCUAACACACACACACAUUCGAAGGCAACGGUAAAUGAGUUUGCACCAUAGGCAGAUUGCACCUGUGUUCAAAUUAAUAUGAAGCGCAUAAAGUAUUGACUAAAGCAUUAGUUGAAAUGAUUCCAUACUUAUGAUUAUGCCAGACACUUUGUAAGUGCUUGUACUCGCAUUCUUGGGCUUGAAGGGACAUCUGAAGGAGUAGAAGAUCAAGGAAAGCUAACUCGUGUGGCUGCGGUAAAAAUUCUUAUGUUUUCUAUCUUUUCUAUACAUCUCACAGCAUAGCUAGAAUAUCUAUUCUGUGGAAUGUUCAUUUGCAUUAAAUAAAUACAAAUGAAUAUGUACUCACUAAUUUCCUUCUCAUGAUGAACUUUUUUAUUUUUUGGGAGUUUGGAAAUUCAGUUUCCGUUUGGGAUUUGAUUCUGAUCGAUUUUUCGAGCCCUUGAACUCCCUGUAGUCCAAAAGAAUAUGAAAGAACCGAAAGAAAGAUUUGCAGGUAGAAAGGUGAAAGCUUUAUAUGCCAAAAAUAGUUUGGAGUUGAUGCAAUCAUUCCUUGAUUUCCAUGUUUGCUUUGCUGAUAAAUGUGCAUAAUUUGAAUAACUUUAUGUUAUAAUCUAAUAAUAAGGUAAUGUUGGGCAUUGAUCGUAUUGAUAUGAUAAAAGGAAUUCCGCAGAAGAUAUUGGCAUUUGAAAAGUUCCUUGAGGAGAACCCACGCUAGCGUGAUAAAGUUGUCUUGUUGCAAAUUGUUGUACUAACUAGGAUAGAUGUUCCUGAUUGUAUGUUUCUUCUUUGGGCAUGUUAGUUAUUACCUAAAUUGUAUUUAUCAAUUAAUUUAUGUUGUAAAUGUAAACUGGAAAUAAACAAAAAAUCCUUUUAUUUUCUUUUUUUUCCCUCCUGUAUCUUCUUUUUCUUAGCAUAUCAGUAUCUUCUUUAUCUUGUAUUUGAGUAUUAAUGUAUAAAACAAUUAUAGCAUACAUUAUAGCAAAAAUUAUACAUGUCACUAAUUACUAUU